This is a non-coding RNA of Acanthosepion pharaonis, 98 nucleotides long. The record is from the annotation of a GenBank genome assembly. NCBI's taxonomy places the organism in Eukaryota, Metazoa, Mollusca, Cephalopoda, Sepiida, Sepiidae.
AUAAAACACCGGUUCUCUUAAAAUCACCGAAGUUAGACAACGUUCAGCCAAGUCAGUACCUAGAUGGGUGACCGCCUCGGAAUACCAGGUGCUGUAAG